GAAAUUUCACUAGGCUGCCAACAAUCUGCCAUUUGGAUUUACCAAUGACAUAUAGAGAUUCAAUCUUCAGUAUUUAAAAGAUUCAGAAAUUGAAAAUUUUAGUGUGUGAUUAAAAAAUAUAUGCUAAACAGAUUCAUAAAAAGAACUAAUAGAUUAAGAGAUUGAAAAGGGCCGUUAAACUCAGCGAUUACAAAAAAAAAUUCCUAAUCCAGUUCUUCAAUUAGUAGUUUAUUAA
This 235-nucleotide unclassified non-coding RNA is filed under the name Hevea brasiliensis (rubber tree). The record is from RNAcentral. Lineage: Eukaryota; Viridiplantae; Streptophyta; Magnoliopsida; Malpighiales; Euphorbiaceae.